UACGUAGGGUGCAAGCGUUUAAUCGGAAUUACUGGGCGUAAAGCGUGCGCAGGCGGCUUUGCAAGACAGAUGUGAAAUCCCCGGGCUCAACCUGGGAACUGCAUUUGUGACUGCAUGGCUAGAGUACGGUAGAGGGGGAUGGAAUUCCGCGUGUAGCAGUGAAAUGCGUAGAUAUGCGGAGGAACACCGAUGGCGAAGGCAAUCCCCUGGACCUGUACUG
Molecule: ribosomal RNA, 220 nt
Filed under: uncultured bacterium
Lineage: Bacteria
Description: partial 16S ribosomal RNA
Rfam family: Bacterial small subunit ribosomal RNA
Source: RNAcentral